AGCGAACGCUGGCGGCAGGCCUAACACAUGCAAGUCGAACGAACCUUUCGGGGUUAGUGGCGGACGGGUGAGUAACACGUGGGAACGUGCCUUUAGGUUCGGAAUAACUCAGGGAAACUUGUGCUAAUACCGAAUGUGCCCUUCGGGGGAAAGAUUUAUCGCCUUUAGAGCGGCCCGCGUCUGAUUAGCUAGUUGGUUGAGGUAAUGGCUCACCAAGGCGACGAUCAGUAGCUGGUCUGAGAGUAUGAUCAGCCACAUUGGGACUGAGACACGGCCCAAACUCCUACGGGAGGCAGCAGUGGGGAAUCUUGCGCAAUGGGCGAAAGCCUGACGCAGCCAUGCCGCGUGAAUGAUGAAGGUCUUAGGAUUGUAAAAUUCUUUCACCGGGGACGAUAAUGACGGUACCCGGAGAAGAAGCCCCGGCUAACUUCGUG
Molecule: ribosomal RNA, 434 nt
Filed under: uncultured bacterium
Lineage: Bacteria
Description: partial 16S ribosomal RNA
Rfam family: Bacterial small subunit ribosomal RNA
Source: RNAcentral